AACGAACGCUGGCGGCAUGCCUAACACAUGCAAGUCGAACGAGACCUUCGGGUCUAGUGGCGCACGGGUGCGUAACGCGUGGGAAUCUGCCCUUGGGUGCGGAAUAACUUCUCGAAAGGGAUGCUAAUACCGCAUAAUGUCGUAAGACCAAAGAUUUAUCGCCCAAGGAUGAGCCCGCGUAAGAUUAGCUAGUUGGUGGGGUAAAAGCCUACCAAAGGCGACGAUCUUUAGCUGGUCUGAGAGGAUGAUCAGCCACACUGGGACUGAGACACGGCCCAGACUCCUACGGGAGGCAGCAGUGGGGAAUAUUGGACAAUGGGCGAAAGCCUGAUCCAGCAAUGCCGCGUGAGUGAUGAAGGCCUUAGGGUUGUAAAGCUCUUUUACCCGAGAUGAUAAUGACAGUAUCGGGAGAAUAAGCUCCGGCUAAACUCCGUGCCAGCAGCCGCGGUAAU
This 452-nucleotide ribosomal RNA is filed under the name uncultured bacterium. RNAcentral describes it as "bacterial SSU rRNA". It matches the Rfam family "Bacterial small subunit ribosomal RNA", at positions 29 to 524 of the family's 1533-position model. The record is from RNAcentral.